CACCAACCACAACAAUGACCGACCUUAGAACGUUGAGCCAGGUCAUUUAAAAUUGGAAAGAAAAUGGAGUUAAAUUACAGAACAGUCCCUGAGUCCAACUCCACCCAACUAUAACUGGGCCCUGAGUCCAUAAUCCAAAGAAAUUGUACGCAAAUGCCCUUUGGUUGGGAGAUAAGAGUUGGUGAGACCGGCGCAAGUAGUAAAUUGGAAUAUUAAUAGGUCAACAUCUCACCAACUUCCUCUGGUUACUUUUUCUCUCCCUCUGACUUUGUGCUAUGGUGCACUCCCUCCCUAUUUAAAUGACAUUUUAGAGAUGAGCAUACUCAUUAAGAUAAUAAUUAAAAAUUAUUAAAUAUACUAUUCAAUUGUCUAUAAUACCCUUAAAUCAUUAAUGAGUUUAAAAUACCAAAAAAAAUACUGUAAAGUAAUGAAGGGUAUUUUUAGAAAAAUUAUCAUUAAUUUUCCUAAAUUUGAACAAACGUCAAAUAAUUAAGCACAAAUAAAAAAUCUAAAACAUCAUUUAAAUAGGAACGGAGAGAGUAUUUGGUAAUUUACGGUUACACCACAUGCGUAGUAUCAAAGGUUGAUUUUUGUAUAUAUUUCAUGAGUAGUAUUACCCUCCAUUAGGUGCGGUAGGCGAGUACUGUCUUAAAAAACAAGAAAAAAGAAAAAAAUAAGCAGAGUACGCAAAAUACGACUUGUUUUUUCCUUCUUUAAAUCUCAACUCACUUUCACCAAAUUAUGACCCAUAAACUCCCCCCACUCAAAUUAUUAACAAACACUACUUACUAAUUACCACCUUCUCUUCUGGCCUGCCUGCUUGCUUUCAUCUUCAAACUCCAACACCACAAUUAUUAAUGAAGAUCAACGUAAGAGAGUCGACGAUGGUGACGCCGGUGCAGGAGACGCCGCGGCAGAGUCUGUGGAACGCUAACGUGGAUCUUGUGGUACCUAAUUUCCAUACCCCGAGCGUAUACUUUUACCGGCCGAACGGGUCGUCCAAUUUCUUUGAGCCGACACUAGUUAAGGA
Molecule: long non-coding RNA, 1030 nt
Filed under: Panax ginseng (ginseng)
Lineage: Eukaryota; Viridiplantae; Streptophyta; Magnoliopsida; Apiales; Araliaceae
Description: long non-coding RNA (PGIN_LNC008128)
Source: RNAcentral